CAGGUGCCCCAAUCCAGCCUACUGUUGGUGGACUGGAAGAGGAGCAGGGGUGUAGGACCAGAUUGGCCCUGGAUAAGUGUUCAGGAACUUGGCUGCCUGAGAGAAAAGGACAGAAGUCCAGCUUUUUUCGGCCCCCUAGAGCAGUCUGCCAGACAAUCUUGCUCAAAGAGCUGAGGAAGGAGCCUGAGCCCCAGGUGCAUCAUGGGAGACCCGGCCCCCUGGUCCAAUCCUGCCUACCCAAGGACAUGUUGGUGCAGAUGGGAUGGGACAGAACGGAAGCCACAGCACAGCCCUGAACCGGACCACCCGACCCCGUGGACAGUGGAGGACUGAGCAGCUACUCGGUUGUUAUGGACACUCAUAGAUUGCGCCGGCUCCACCCUGAGGGAAUCAGUUGGCACCGGGCUGCUGUCCCCUGCCCACCGCUGCUGCCCUCUGGUUCCCCCUCCCCGCCCCCCAGCCUGCAACUGUAUCCCCUCCAUCCAGACAAUGCCAUUUCCCUUGGGGGUCAAGGGUCAAACACUGCAUCCUGGCUGCCAAACCAGUCUCUUGCAACUCCAGGAGGUGAUGGAGGUGUGUGUGUGUGUGUGUGUCUGUUUCUUGUGUGAGAGCAAGGGCCGGGACCAGAGCAGGGUGAGGGGGCCGCCCCUCUUUGGACGGGUAAAGGGUUCUGGAAACAGGGGUCUAGAGUUCUGGGCACGUACUCCGUGGACCUCAGGAGCAGGUGUGAAGUCACGCCGGGGCCCUUAAUUCUUUAGACAGUGUGACUUCUGCCUGCCCUGAUCUGUUGGGAGUUAUCGAGCCUACUCUGGCUUCAAGAGUACAGACUCCCUUUCCCGCUUGAAGGGGGUGCCCCUGGGGGAGCGGGGUACAGGGACAGGAGUAGU
This is a long non-coding RNA of Tachyglossus aculeatus (Australian echidna), 887 nucleotides long. RefSeq lists it as uncharacterized. NCBI's taxonomy places the organism in Eukaryota, Metazoa, Chordata, Mammalia, Monotremata, Tachyglossidae. The record is from RefSeq and is a predicted model, not a curated record. The transcript has 3 exons.